CAGUCGCCGCGGUAAUACGGAGGGUGCAAGCGCUAAUCGGAAUUACUGGGCGUAAAGCGUGCGUAGGCGGUUCGUUAAGUCUGUUGUGAAAGCCCCGGGCUCAACCUGGGAAUGGCAAUGGAUACUGGCGAGCUAGAGUGUGUCAGAGGAUGGUGGAAUUCCCGGUGUAGCGGUGAAAUGCGUAGAGAUCGGGAGGAACAUCAGUGGCGAAGGCGGCCAUCUGGGACAACACUGACGCUGAGGCACGAAAGCGUGGGGAGCAAACAGGAUUAGAUACCCCAGUAGUCCCUGUCUCUUAUAC
This 301-nucleotide ribosomal RNA is filed under the name uncultured bacterium. Its description in RNAcentral is "partial 16S ribosomal RNA". It matches the Rfam family "Bacterial small subunit ribosomal RNA", at positions 509 to 807 of the family's 1533-position model. The record is from RNAcentral.